AAAACGACGAAAGCUAUCGACUUGAUGAUACAGUUUUUUGAGCGGUCGGGUCGGGUCGUAGGCAUAAUCCAGCCGUUGUUUUUAUUCUGCUAUACAAGGAAUCGACUUCGAUUUCGCCGUUUGGUGGGUUUGUAUAAUUGAUCGGAAUCAAUGGAAGAGUCCGGCGUAGUCCGCCGUGAAACCGAUGGAGACGGAGAAGCCGUCUUUGCACAACUGAAAGUUCUCUGCACGGAGCUUCAAAUCCUAUAGCGAAAACCUAGAAGGGAUCCGGGCACGAUCCCUGCAUUGCUCCACCUCCUUCGCCGUACCCCUCCUGCCACUCUCCAGUCCUUCUUCAACUACACUUUGUUUCCAUUGCUUCUUCUGUUAGACGCCGCCGUUGCUUGCAGAAGUGAGAGGAAAAAUCAGCCUAAGAAAUUUCCAAACACACCUUAUAGAGUGAGUGAUAAAAUGGCCGUAGGCGUAAUCUAUUGUCUUGAGGAACUUUUAAAGAAGGGUCACGUUGGAUCCGUUGAUCAGAUGGUUGUAGUUAUGAAGAAGUUGACUAGUGGUGCUGCUUUACCCCCAUCUGUGGCUGCUGAUGAGUUUCUUGAAGGGAUCAUCAGAUGUUUAAGAGAACCGGAUACAAAAGAAAGAAACAAUAUAACAACAAAGAGAACAAUACCUGCAAAAUAUCUUGAUUACAUAG
Long non-coding RNA from Camelina sativa (false flax), 688 nucleotides. RefSeq lists it as uncharacterized. Lineage: Eukaryota; Viridiplantae; Streptophyta; Magnoliopsida; Brassicales; Brassicaceae. The record is from RefSeq and is a predicted model, not a curated record.